AUGUACCUAAGUGUUGGUCUAUACUUUAAUGCACUUGUGUUCACGCAUGGCCAGCUUUAUGUAGCAGUGUCGCGUGUGACCUCAAAAAAGGCUUUGAAAAUCCUGAUUGAAAAUGAAGAUGGCUCGGAUGCAAGGUGCGAGUCAACAAUGCCAGUAGUGAGUCGAGAGAAGUGGAGAAGAGGGUCCCUCCAGGCUCCAUACAUGAAUGGUGGUGGCAUGUGGCAAUGUCGGGGAAAGCAAGGAAGAUGUUGUUGUACAUCGUCGAACAUAUAA
Molecule: ribosomal RNA, 273 nt
Filed under: Triticum aestivum (bread wheat)
Lineage: Eukaryota; Viridiplantae; Streptophyta; Magnoliopsida; Poales; Poaceae
Description: partial small subunit ribosomal RNA
Source: RNAcentral